UGUUUUGUGGAUUCACGCAUCCUUGUC
RNAcentral lists this non-coding RNA (27 nucleotides) under Mus musculus (house mouse). The record is from RNAcentral. Lineage: Eukaryota; Metazoa; Chordata; Mammalia; Rodentia; Muridae.